GGGGGUGUACUGGUUUCGACGGGGUGUGCGAAGUUGAAGCUGCAUGCCGAGCUGGGAGAUGCUCGUAAAUAUCCUCCGGUUUGUUAUAGUUGCAAACGACGAAAACUACGCUCUGGCUGCUUAAUCCAGCCAGUGCCCACUGGGUGCGAUGCCCGUAUCGCCCCAGUUGGGUAUCGGUUUAAACGGGAUCGCUUCUGUCACGGGCCUGGGUGGCAGAAGUUAAAUCGAACAGGCUGGGUCUGCCGUGAUCCCUGUCAGUCGGGUAGCGGCAGACGAGAAUAAUAGACUGACUAAGCAUGUAGACGCUUGAAUGGAGGCACCCCGGACGGCGGUUCGACUCCGACCACCUCCACCA
RNAcentral lists this transfer-messenger RNA (355 nucleotides) under Piscirickettsiaceae bacterium. It matches the Rfam family "transfer-messenger RNA". Rfam says of the family: Bacterial tmRNA, also known as 10Sa RNA or SsrA, is named for its dual tRNA and mRNA-like properties. Its role is to liberate the mRNA from a stalled ribosome. The record is from RNAcentral. Lineage: Bacteria; Pseudomonadati; Pseudomonadota; Gammaproteobacteria; Thiotrichales; Piscirickettsiaceae.